GGAGCAGGAAGCAUCGCUGAUUUUUUUCUUUUUUCUUUUUUUAAUGAGCAGUACCGCCGGUUCGGGAGACGGCGGUGAUGCAGCGCACUAUCAACGCCGACCCUAAUCCAACGGGUAGCCAAACAUUGGACCCGGCGGUGAUAGGGUGUGCUGUAGUAGUACCCUCAUCAAGGGCUUUUUUUUUUAGGUUCAGGUAAGAACAUCCACAGAGAGAGCGCAUCAGGUUGCUAUUUUUGUCAUGCACUGCGUGAUCGUCUUAAGGAUUGGUUUGCGAAUUUUGUAUUUGCUGCAUCUGCU
RNAcentral lists this long non-coding RNA (297 nucleotides) under Panicum hallii. Its description in RNAcentral is "long non-coding RNA (PHAL_LNC000793)". The record is from RNAcentral. Lineage: Eukaryota; Viridiplantae; Streptophyta; Magnoliopsida; Poales; Poaceae.